UACGAAGGGGGCUAGCGUUGCUCGGAAUUACUGGGCGUAAAGGGCGCGUAGGCGGAUGCUUAAGUCGGGGGUGAAAUCCUGGAGCUCAACUCCAGAACUGCCUUCGAUACUGGCGAUCUUGAGUCCGGAAGAGGUGAGUGGAACUCCUAGUGUAGAGGUGGAAUUCGUAGAUAUUAGGAAGAACACCAGUGGCGAAGGCGGCUCACUGGUCCGGUACUGACGCUGAGGUGCGAAAGCGUGGGGAGCAAACAGG
RNAcentral lists this ribosomal RNA (253 nucleotides) under uncultured bacterium. RNAcentral's name for it is "partial 16S ribosomal RNA". It matches the Rfam family "Bacterial small subunit ribosomal RNA", at positions 524 to 776 of the family's 1533-position model. The record is from RNAcentral.